Mya arenaria is the source of this 2011-nucleotide long non-coding RNA. RefSeq lists it as uncharacterized. The record is from RefSeq and is a predicted model, not a curated record. Lineage: Eukaryota; Metazoa; Mollusca; Bivalvia; Myida; Myidae. The transcript has 11 exons.
AAUUUAUAGCGUCUUUAAAAUAUCAUAAAAACAAGAAAUAUUACCAGAUAAUGUUAUUUUAUAUUAGUUCCGUACACAAAAAAAUAAAUAUCCAACUUAUAAUUAUGAGUUUGACGGCUUUUCUUCAUUUCAUUCUGUCAAAACAUAACGAUAUAUACAUGAAGGGCACCUACAAGGCUUCAGGGCACAGUUUUAAAUACAUGUAGCUCGAACAUAUCGGCCAUGAGGUCUAUCUCGAAGCUUUGUCGGAGGAGGCCGAGUUAUUACGAUUGUAUCGAGUUGUUCCCCUUCGCAUAAUUGUUAUCUGAGUCAGUCAACUUUCGUUUUAUUUGAAAGAUAGGACAACCUGGCAGACCCUCCCCCAUGGCGCAAGGCCAGACUAGCAGCCCCAGUGUGGAUAAGUCAUGGAAGAAGCGACUCACACAGAAUGAUAUGCAACAUGCUCAGAGGAACGUCAUGGCUUGUGGAGUAGCAGUGUUUCUGCUUUAUUUUGACUUGAACAUUUUCUUUCUGAGUGCAGUUCUGCAGAUUGGCAGUCAUCUGGUAUAUAGAGGUGUCGUUAAUUGUCGUGCUAGUAUUCAGUAUUGUCUCCGAUGUGUUCAAAUGCCUCUCGUUCUAUGUCUUCAACAACAAACUGGAAGUCACUCAGAUACAGAAGCGACUCCUUGGGGUCAAGGACAAUGCCUGUAGCCAAUUCGCAGCUCUGCUCCAUGGCAAGAAUAGCCUGGUAUUCUCCAGUAGUACUCCAUCUAGCUCUCAUACUGCUUAGUCCGUCCAGCGCCAUCUGACAAGAUGACAGACUUACAGUCCCUGUCAGUGUACCUGAAGGAGCAAGAUGAGAAAGACUACAAGGCAGCUCUCAGUUGCCAGGACAUGUCACUGAACAGUUCAUCAUUCUGGAGUAACGGCCGUCCAAGCCUGGACCUGAGCCACGUGUUCCGUAAUAACCAGUUCCAGCUCGCCAGUCAAUCCCAACAGAGCCAUAAGUCGUGGACGAAUGAUAGCGAUAAUUUGGGAGAAGAGUUGGCGAUGCACAUGUUCUGCACGUACCUGGAUUCCCGGCUUCCCCCAGACCUAAGGUAUCCUGAUUGAAAAACGUUCACCAGCCAACACCUCCUCAAGACCCCAGAUAAACCUAACCUUGGGAAGGAUAACUUACUGCUAUACCAGACCAGCAUUAACCCAUCACAUUUCCAAGUGGCCAUUAAAGACACUGUGUUCAACCUGCCUAAGGGUAGAAACAACAUGUUCCAUGCCAUCCUGUUUUUCCUGUACCACAUACAGCACAAGGAAAAUGGAAUGUUAGGGAGAGUGAAUCUUGGAAUGUCGGGGGUGCUUACGAUCAUUGGACAUUUAAGGGAGAUAACUCUUUACAUGGUUAAUGGGGAUAACUCUCGACAUGGUAUUAGUGUUUGCCUGUUUGUGUAAGGUUAUAUGGUUGCACCCACCAUCUUUUUUGACGAAUGGACCUACUGAGAUAUUGUGAAAAAGUGUAUAGAAAAGGGCGAAUUAGUUUGCCAUUAGUGAACAACAGUUUCGAAACAAGUGAAGGGAUGUAACUCCCUGGAAGAGUAUUAUUGCUCAGAGGACAAUUGAAUAACAUGACUAAAUAUGGUGGUAAUACAGCAAGAAAAACAUGGUGUGUAGAAGACAGUGAUGAACUCUGAAGGACAAACUGCAAUGUAUGGGAAGAAAUGACAGAACAGUUUAUAUUUUAAUGGAUGUGUAAGGAUGAAUAGCAUGGAAUAUAUGCAUGUAAGCACUUAAUGCAUUGAAUGUGAUGUCUUUGGUUGAAAAUGAAAAGCUUGAUUCUAGUAAAAUAAGCAAUUAUCCUAUUUCUAGUUACAAUGUACAACUUUUAUUAGUACACUGUUACGGAUGUUGUUGAACAAUUAUUGUUCAAUUACUUUCAGAAAGGAUAAGUUUAUAUUAUUAUGCAACCUUGUAUCAUAGUCAUCAUUUUGUGUUUUAUGACUGUAAUCUUGAAUAAAAUUGGGUGAUUAAACAGUAA